AGUGAACGCUGGCGGUAGGCCUAACACAUGCAAGUCGAACGGCAGCACAGUAAGAGCUUGCUCUUACGGGUGGCGAGUGGCGGACGGGUGAGGAAUACAUCGGAAUCUACUUUUUCGUGGGGGAUAACGUAGGGAAACUUACGCUAAUACCGCAUACGACCUACGGGUGAAAGCAGGGGAUCUUCGGACCUUGCGCGAUUGAAUGAGCCGAUGUCGGAUUAGCUAGUUGGCGGGGUAAAGGCACCAAGGCGACGAUCCGUAGCUGGUCUGAGAGGAUGAUCAGCCACACUGGAACUGAGACACGGUCCAGACUCCUACGGGAGGCAGCGGUGGGGAAUAUUGGACAAUGGGCGCAAGCCUGAUCCAGCCAUACCGCGUGGGUGAAGAAGGCCUUCGGGUUGUAAAGCCCUUUUGUUGGGAAAGAAAAGCAGCAGGUUAAUACCCCGCUGUUCUGACGGUACCCAAAGAAUAAGCACCGACUAACUUCGUG
This 490-nucleotide ribosomal RNA is filed under the name uncultured bacterium. RNAcentral's name for it is "partial 16S ribosomal RNA". It matches the Rfam family "Bacterial small subunit ribosomal RNA", at positions 29 to 507 of the family's 1533-position model. The record is from RNAcentral.